Molecule: ribosomal RNA, 119 nt
Filed under: Pteropus alecto (black flying fox)
Lineage: Eukaryota; Metazoa; Chordata; Mammalia; Chiroptera; Pteropodidae
Also listed under: 1 other name
Source: RNAcentral
GUCUACAGCCAUGCCACCCUGAACGUGCCUGAUCUCGUCUGAGCUCAGAAGCUAAGCAGGGUCGGGCCUGGUUAGUACUUGGAUGGGAGACCACCUAGUAAUACCAGAUGCUGUAGGAG